UAAGGUAACGGCUUACCAAGGCGACGAUGCAUAGCCGAGUUGAGAGACUGAUCGGCCACAUUGGGACUGAGACACGGCCCAAACUCCUACGGGAGGCAGCAGUAGGGAAUCUUCCACAAUGGGCGAAAGCCUGAUGGAGCAACGCCGCGUGAGUGAAGAAGGUUUUCGGAUCGUAAAGCUCUGUUGUUGGUGAAGAAGGAUAGAGGUAGUAACUGGCCCCUAUUUGACGGUAAUCAACCAGAAAGUCACGGCUAACUACGUGCCAGCAGCCGCGGUAAUACGUAGGUGGCAAGCGUUGUCCGGAUUUAUUGGGCGUAAAGCGAGCGCAGGCGGAAAGAUAAGUCUGAUGUGAAAGCCCCCGGCUUAACCGAGGAAUUGCAUCGGAAACUGUGUUUCUUGAAUGCAGAAGAGGAGAGUGGAACUCCAUGUGUAGCGGUGGAAUGCGUAGAUAUAUGGAAGAACACCAGUGGCGAAGGCGGCUCUCUGGUCUGUAACUGACGCUGAGGCUCGAAAGCAUGGGUAGCGAACAGGAUUAGAUACCCUGGUAGUCCAUGCCGUAAACGAUGAGUGCUAAGUGUUGGGAGGUUUCCGCCUCUCA
Molecule: ribosomal RNA, 598 nt
Filed under: uncultured bacterium
Lineage: Bacteria
Description: bacterial SSU rRNA
Rfam family: Bacterial small subunit ribosomal RNA
Source: RNAcentral